GUUUGAUCCUGGCUCAGAGCGAACGUUAGCGGCAGGCUUAACACAUGCAAGUCGAGCGAGAAAGGGGCUUCGGCUCCGAGUAAAAGCGGCGGACGGGUGCGUAACACGUGGAUAAUCUGCCUCGUGGCGGGGGACAACAGUCCGAAAGGACUGCUAAUACCGCAUGUCAGGUCGGAAACUCCGGUUUCUGACGAAAAAGAGGGCGUCCGCAAGGAGCUCUCACCACGAGAUGAGUCCGCGUCCCAUCAGCUAGUUGGCGGUGUAAUGGACCACCAAGGCUUAGACGGGUAGCUGGUCUGAGAGGAUGACCAGCCACACUGGGACUGAGACACGGCCCAGACUCCUACGGGAGGCAGCAGUGGGGAAUAUUGGACAAUGGGCGAAAGCCUGAUCCAGCCAUGCCGCGUGAGUGAUGAAGGCCUCGGUCGUAAG
RNAcentral lists this ribosomal RNA (432 nucleotides) under uncultured bacterium. RNAcentral's name for it is "bacterial SSU rRNA". It matches the Rfam family "Bacterial small subunit ribosomal RNA", at positions 11 to 429 of the family's 1533-position model. The record is from RNAcentral.